GACCCCUUAGCUCAGUGGUAGAGCGUCGCAUUCCAGCUGGCGGACAACCUCGCGAAGGCCGUCCGUUCAAUCCGGGCAGGGGUCA
Non-coding RNA from Mycena polygramma, 85 nucleotides. The record is from the annotation of a GenBank genome assembly. NCBI's taxonomy places the organism in Eukaryota, Fungi, Basidiomycota, Agaricomycetes, Agaricales, Mycenaceae.